ACGGGUGAGUAACGCGUGGGAAUCUACCUUUUGCUACGGAAUAACUCAGGGAAACUUGUGCUAAUACCGUAUGUGCCCUUCGGGGGAAAGAUUUAUCGGCAAAGGAUGAGCCCGCGUUGGAUUAGCUAGUUGGUGGGGUAAAGGCCCACCAAGGCGACGAUCCAUAGCUGGUCUGAGAGGAUGAUCAGCCACACUGGGACUGAGACACGGCCCAGACUCCUACGGGAGGCAGCAGUGGGGAAUAUUGGACAAUGGGCGCAAGCCUGAUCCAGCCAUGCCGCGUGAGUGAUGAAGGCCCUAGGGUUGUAAAGCUCUUUCACCGGUGAAGAUAAUGACGGUAACCGGAGAAGAAGCCCCGGCUAACUUCGUGCCAGCAGCCGCGGUAAUACGAAGGGGGCUAGCGUUGUUCGGAUUUACUGGGCGUAAAGCGCACGUAGGCGGACUUUUAAGUCAGGGGUGAAAUCCCAGAGCUCAACUCUGGAACUGCCUUUGAUACUGGAAGUCUUGAGUAUGGUAGAGGUGAGUGGAAUUCCGAGU
This 537-nucleotide ribosomal RNA is filed under the name uncultured bacterium. Its description in RNAcentral is "bacterial SSU rRNA". It matches the Rfam family "Bacterial small subunit ribosomal RNA", at positions 102 to 674 of the family's 1533-position model. The record is from RNAcentral.